GGACGAACGCUGGCGGCGUGCUUACCACAUGCAAGUCGAACGGAAAGGCCCUGCUUUUGUGGGGUGCUCGAGUGGCGAACGGGUGAGUAACACGUGAGUAACCUGCCCUUGACUUUGGGAUAACUUCAGGAAACUGGGGCUAAUACCGGAUAGGAGCUCCUGCUGCAUGGUGGGGGUUGGAAAGUUUCGGCGGUUGGGGAUGGACUCGCGGCUUAUCAGCUUGUUGGUGGGGUAGUGGCUUACCAAGGCUUUGACGGGUAGCCGGCCUGAGAGGGUGACCGGCCACAUUGGGACUGAGAUACGGCCCAGACUCCUACGGGGGGCAGCAGUGGGGAAUAUUGCACAAUGGGCGGAAGCCUGAUGCAGCAACGCCGCGUGCGGGAUGACGGCCUUCGGGUUGUAAACCGCUUUCGCCUGUGACGAAGCGUGAGUGACGGUAAUGGGUAAAGAAGCACCGGCUAACUACGUG
This 469-nucleotide ribosomal RNA is filed under the name uncultured bacterium. Its description in RNAcentral is "partial 16S ribosomal RNA". It matches the Rfam family "Bacterial small subunit ribosomal RNA", at positions 27 to 507 of the family's 1533-position model. The record is from RNAcentral.